Branchiostoma floridae (Florida lancelet) is the source of this 282-nucleotide long non-coding RNA. RefSeq lists it as uncharacterized. The record is from RefSeq and is a predicted model, not a curated record. Lineage: Eukaryota; Metazoa; Chordata; Leptocardii; Amphioxiformes; Branchiostomatidae. The transcript has 3 exons.
GUUGUUAUCAAGAACACCAUGCGCGUUGUGGAAGUCUGGAUGGACCAGUAUAAGGACAUCUACUACAGGAGGCAAAAAAUGACGAAAACGAUGUCACCAGGUGACCUGUCACAGAAACGGAAAUUGCGUCACGUCCUAGGUUGCCGGAACUUCACGUAGUAUCUAAGGAAUGUGUAUCCGGAACUCUACGUUCCAGACCUAGUACCAAGAGCUUAUGGUCAGGUAUUACAUAUGUCGACAGGUUUGUGUCUCGACGCCACUAACCCUAACGGCUUGGCUGGA